Trichomycterus rosablanca is the source of this 499-nucleotide long non-coding RNA. RefSeq lists it as uncharacterized. The transcript has 3 exons. The record is from RefSeq and is a predicted model, not a curated record. Lineage: Eukaryota; Metazoa; Chordata; Actinopteri; Siluriformes; Trichomycteridae.
CACACAGUACAUUCACUGCUGCAACAGAAUCCAGUGCUCGCUGCUCAGCUUCCAAUGUUACUAUAAGAGUUAUGCCCUCCCUCAUGUACCCUACAGAAAUCCUGGCCCAACAGUGCUUUCUUCUUACAAGGCUGUCCAAGCCUGGUAAUGCCAGAACAUAGUGGACGCCCCAAGAAGGAACUGGCACAAGAAGAAAAAGCAGGGCUGGAACUACGGGAUUGACUCACUGUGUCCAAGACACCUCCCAGAUUCCUUUGGGCAACACUCUCAAGAACAGCCUGCCAAGCAGAACAUGGAUCAGCAUGACAAUGUCAACCUAUUUAUACAAACGUUUUAAGGCUAAGUCGACUUUUCAGUCUGGGUGUAGAGUGGCUAGGAGUGCCUAAAGAGGGACAGCUGCGCCUGGAUGGCCCAUAACUGUGAGCUGGAGAUACAGCCACCAUGUAAGGGUCACCUAUACCAUGAAGAUUAAAUGAAUAACACAAAAUAAAGAAGUAAU